This 382-nucleotide ribosomal RNA is filed under the name Salmonella enterica. Its description in RNAcentral is "bacterial SSU rRNA". It matches the Rfam family "Bacterial small subunit ribosomal RNA", at positions 881 to 1263 of the family's 1533-position model. RNAcentral also lists the same sequence under 2 other names. The record is from RNAcentral. Lineage: Bacteria; Pseudomonadati; Pseudomonadota; Gammaproteobacteria; Enterobacterales; Enterobacteriaceae.
UACGGCCGCAAGGUUAAAACUCAAAUGAAUUGACGGGGGCCCGCACAAGCGGUGGAGCAUGUGGUUUAAUUCGAUGCAACGCGAAGAACCUUACCUGGUCUUGACAUCCACAGAACUUUCCAGAGAUGGAUUGGUGCCUUCGGGAACUGUGAGACAGGUGCUGCAUGGCUGUCGUCAGCUCGUGUUGUGAAAUGUUGGGUUAAGUCCCGCAACGAGCGCAACCCUUAUCCUUUGUUGCCAGCGGUCCGGCCGGGAACUCAAAGGAGACUGCCAGUGAUAAACUGGAGGAAGGUGGGGAUGACGUCAAGUCAUCAUGGCCCUUACGACCAGGGCUACACACGUGCUACAAUGGCGCAUACAAAGAGAAGCGACCUCGCGAGAG